GUCUGUAUAGAUUAUGUUAAAUUGUGAUGCUGUUAACUUCAAGAAGGGUUGGAUGUUUAUUCCCUACAGUCG
Molecule: transfer RNA, 72 nt
Filed under: Tylocephalum sp. DTJL-2012
Lineage: Eukaryota; Metazoa; Platyhelminthes; Cestoda; Lecanicephalidea; Tetragonocephalidae
Description: tRNA-Asn
Source: RNAcentral